AUGACCAAAGGCAUAAUCAGAAUCACAGCCCUAUAUCAGCGCUCUGGACCCACACAUCCUCUUGCUCACCCAGUGAUGUUUACCAGGAGGCAUCUUGCCAGAAAGGAAAUCAGCUGUGGGGGCUGUACGUUCCAGGAGCCAGCCCAUCAAGAAGGCAUUUUUCGUUCAGAGCCCAUGUGUGUUGGGUGCCCCCCAGGUAGAUCAAGGCCGGAAUAUGGAGGGCUUGGAAUGUUCUGCCCAGGAGAGUCCAGAAUCACGUGGCACAAAAGGUCUCCACCAUGAUGAGCAUAAGACAAGAUGCCAGCAAAAGGAAACAAUACUGGCAGCCUUAGUAGAAAGAGCAUGGACUGGGGUUUCAGGAGAACCGGGAGCCAGUCCUAGCUCUGCCGCUAACCAUCUGCAUGACUUUGGGCAAGUCACUUAAAUUUUCCAGCCUUUUCUCCUCACCGGUAUGGUGAGUUGGGUUAUCAAAAUCACUAAGGGUCCUCUCAAAUUAUAUAAACUUUUAAAAAGGGAGGAUUUCCCAACAGGAGGAAGUUUUGACACCAUUGAACACUGGGACAGAUUGUGGAAUUUCUUUCCUUAAAGAUGUGGAAGAAGCAAGUGGUUUAGGAUCCCACGUAGAUGAGCAAUUUAACAUGUAUGUUUGUCAGGUCCUCUAUUAUGAACGUAUUACACUAUCUCAUUUCAUCCUCAUGCAAACCCAUGAAAUAGACAACGUUAUCAUUCAAAUUUUACCAAGAAAGAAACUGAGGCUCAGAGGAGUUAAAUAACUUGUCCAGAGCCUACAAAUAAUAAGCGCCAGUAGUAGGUUUUAAACGUGGGCAGUCUGGCACCACAGCAGCACUCGCUAGCACUACAUUGCACCACCUUGUGCUUAGGGGCAGCUCUGAGUCCUCUCCCAAGAGCCCAUCGUGAUCCAUGGUGUCUCUGGAGGGACCCGUUUGCAGCUUCUCAGACACGUGCAAAAGGCAGGUGCUUGGCUAGUGUGAGAAACCAAACUCUUUUGGCUCUCUCUUAGCUCUGUGCCCUACGUUUUGACAUUCAGGGGUAAGAAGCAUUUGUUUGGCAAUUAAUAAUGCACUGCCUUGUGACAUCUCUUGUUUGGAUGUCUUUAUUGUUUUUCAGUUUCUAUGUGCUUAUGAUUUUUCUCCUUCCUUAAUAUUGAUUGUAUAUUGAUCAUAUGUCAGGCACUGUUCUACAUGCUUUAAAUGUGUUAUUUCACUUAACACUCACAAUAACACUUCAGGAUGGAUACUAUUAUUAUUCCCAGUUUACAGUUGAGAAAACUAAGGUACAGAGGGAAAGAUAUUAUUAUACUGCCCAUAGGCCAAUGACAUUGACAGCAUAUACUAGGCCUUCAAUAAAUAUUUGCAAAUGGAUUGAUUGAGUCAAGGGUCAUGUACUUCAAGGAUUCCCUUUGCCCAGAUCCUUCCAUAGUCUUCUAUUUAUUCUCUGCUUACUCCAGUUUUUACUAUGUUUCCUUUACAGACUGUGUCUAAGAUGCCAAUUGAAGACUGGAACAGCCAUUUGAAUGUGGGGUAUUCCUGGAAACCUGUUCUAGUAGGCACUGGAGAAGCCACAGGAGCCUGUCAAUAUAAAAUAGACACACUUUGUGCUCAAUAAUAAUUCACUAAUUGACGAAUAUAUUGAUGGAGUGUUGGUUUGCUUCACAAUCUGCUGGUAAAAACAUACUCAUUUUUGGAUGAAUUUCAGGUCUUAUAGGUAAAAUUUGUUUUAGCUUUUUCCAUUUUGUUUCAAUCCCCUAACUUUUGGCUUUCUUUGCCACUUAGAAGCAGAAAUGGGAGAAGUAAA
Papio anubis (olive baboon) is the source of this 1815-nucleotide long non-coding RNA. The record is from Ensembl. NCBI's taxonomy places the organism in Eukaryota, Metazoa, Chordata, Mammalia, Primates, Cercopithecidae.